AGUAAAAAGGGUUAGCAUAAGAUUUGUUCAUUUACACAUAACCUCUCCUCUGCACUCCGACGUCGAAACUCUUCUCCUCUCCAGCUUCGCUCGUCUCCUUUCCGGCGUCGAAACUCGUCCCCUCUCCAGCCUAUUGUACUUGUCAUUUUCUUCUUUGUUCUAGCGCCAUUAAUUUUCUUCAUCGGCCGAGGGCUUUACACUUCCACAAUGUUUGGUUCUAUUGUCUAUCUUCUCCAAGUUCAAGCUUAUUUUCACGUGAUUCCUUUUCAUUAUCAUCUUAUUUGGGUUCAUGUCAGACUUCACAUCGCUGUAGAGGAGCAAGAUUUGUUGUUAGAGCUGAUGCAGAUUACUAUUUAGUCCUGGGGGUGUCAAAAAAGCCAGUAAAUCUGAAAUAAAAAGGGGAAUGCUGAUUUUCAUUUUCAUUGUUUUCUAUAUGUCUGUACUGUUCUAUUACAUUAAUUUUAUGGUUUACAUAGUGAAGUACGUAUCCUUUUUUUCUUUAUUCUUCUUUCUCUAUUUGUUUUAUCCAAAAUUUUUGGUUCUUUUAUAUAUAGCCUAUGAUUUUUCUUCUAGUCAUUUGAAUUUCAUAAUCGAUCAGGCUUAAGAGGUUAUCUAAAUUCUAGGCCUAAAAAACUAGCAAGUGUUAAUUUUUGUUAAAAAUGUGAUAGGAAUCUAGAACACAAUUAACUGAUUCACUGCAAAGACAAGCUUUUUUAUUUUAAUACGAAUGAGGAACUUGUAAGGUUCCUAUUACACAGGAAAUUAUCAAAAUAGAAAAUAUGCUCUUCUGGCGGUUCUGAGGAGCCAGACCACCUCCCAAUAACACUCUGAAAUCUGAUGAGUCUAUCUGGCACCCAUCCUCCCCUUUUAUUGACACUGAGAAUAAUUUUAGAAGGAAGGGAAUCGUGGACUUCCCUUUUUAUUGCAAAUUAUAUUUGGAAAUCUAGGAUUCUUCUCUGAUUGAGACUUUAAAUUAUGAUUUUCUCCUAUUCUUAUUAGUUCUAUGAUAAAUUUGCCUUACUGGCUUCUUAACAUAAUGCAUAUGCUUCCAUCAUAUGUUUGUGGUUUCUCUCUCUUUGCUGUGCAGUUUAUUAAUACUAUCGUUUUUAAUCAUAUCUUGGUUUUUUGAGUAUUUCAUUUUAUUUGCACAGAAUGCGAUAGUUCCUCUAUGUGUAUUUUUUUAACUCUGCAUGCAAUAGGCUUUUUAUUUUACAUUAUCCUUAUGCUCUUUCAAGUCCCUGGUAAAAAUUUAUUUGUUUUGUGUAUUUGGCAGUUGGCACAAUUGACAUUAAUUUGUUUUUCCUUGUAUUGCUUCAUUUAAGAGGAAGCAAUUCAUAACAUGAUGUUGAAUAGUGUGGGGGAACUAUAUGAGGUUGUUUUUUUGAUAGAUAUUAUAUGUACACAGAAAGUAAAUACGAAGCUCAGUUAAAAUCACAACUUGAAAAAAAAAAAAGAAGCAUUAGGUUAUUAUGCUAGAGUAUGACUUCUCUUUUCUGGUUUGGCAGUGCCAAAAUGAUCAGGUUGGUGUCUGCGAAUUAUUAUGUAACUAAAAUAAAGUUGAAUUGAAAUCUGAAAGAUAAAAAAAUUGGUCUGAAACAGAGUACCAAAACCGAUUCUUGUUUGGAUAUAAUACAUGAUCCACUUUAUAAAUAAAUUUCCUUGGAAUUCUGAUUAAGGAACAAUCAAGAGUAGUAGAGGUGGACAUAUUUGGAAAUAACAGCACAUUUAUGCUGUAGGAAAUGUCUGAACCUUUUUCUUUUGGAUGAUUGGAGGAAUAUUAUGGAGUGAUUUGUUUCUCUGCUGUUCUUAAAUAUUGGAUCUAUAUAAAGUGACAGAACUAUUUGGUUUUGGGUACCAUGGCCUAUGAUGAUAUAGUCAUCUUGGUGGAAACAUGAUUAUCCAAAAUUAAUUCAAAUGAAACGUUCUCUUCCUUCUUUAGACCCUACCCUACUCUGUCCUUGCAAAAACAGUAGUUAAACUUGUAGAUUAGUGUGAGCAUUGUAAGAGAUCUA
Molecule: long non-coding RNA, 2012 nt
Organism: Mangifera indica (mango)
Lineage: Eukaryota; Viridiplantae; Streptophyta; Magnoliopsida; Sapindales; Anacardiaceae
Exons: 3
Source: RefSeq, a predicted model, not a curated record